UUUAGCAAGGAGAUUGUGGGAAUGAGCACGGGGGAAGAGCUUUCCCGUCUCCGUCAGUACACUUUCAUUUCCCCCCGUUUCCCUUCGCCAUAGGUCCGCAAGGUUUGAGGAACCGCGGGUCAGCUUUCGCAGUCACAGGACUCCUCGAGUGACCUCCUGCAGACGAAGCCUCGCUCCCCACAUUUACGGCGUUUUGCGCUUCCGGCAGGGUCGAUCUGAUCCCACGACCACAGGGCCCGCUGGGAGAGGUGGCCGCUGGCAGCCUGGCCGCGGCACGCAGGAGGUCGCCUCGCUGUGUGUCGUCUUCGCGCCACGCUCCGGCAGCCCCCGAGAAACAGCUGGCUUUGAACUGGAGACGUUAUAGCUGGUACACACGUCCACCCACCCACCCACGUCCGUGCACACACAGCCCGGCAGGCAAGAAACCCAGCCCCGAACAUGCAGCCGGGAUGAGCCAGGGCGCUGCUACCUGCCCUACUGCAGCCCCCGUGACAUGGUCCAUUACUUACACGGCUCUGCACGGAGGUCUGAGCUGCAAACAUGGGCUUUGGAGCCAAAGGAGGAGUGGUACCAUUUUACCAUCCAUUGCACCAAUCCAUCAAUCCCAAAAGAAAGUUCCUGGAGGAACAGGGAUGAACAGGAGGAAAUGUCCUUUUCCUGGACAUUUAAUGUUCUGCGACACCAGCUACGAGGUCGAAAGCAAACAAAUAUCCCUCUCAGGAGGCUCCAAGCUCUAGGCUGGGACCUGAGAACAGUGUGUUUGGAGAGCCUGAUUAUGCACUGGGGAGAUGAAGGAUAA
This 799-nucleotide long non-coding RNA is filed under the name Apteryx haastii (Great spotted kiwi). RNAcentral describes it as "lncRNA (ENSAHAG00000004463.1)". Lineage: Eukaryota; Metazoa; Chordata; Aves; Apterygiformes; Apterygidae. The record is from RNAcentral.